Molecule: long non-coding RNA, 604 nt
Filed under: Brassica napus (rape)
Lineage: Eukaryota; Viridiplantae; Streptophyta; Magnoliopsida; Brassicales; Brassicaceae
Description: long non-coding RNA (BNAP_LNC016442)
Source: RNAcentral
GGGGUGAUUACUGGUGAUACUGAUGAUUUAAAUUCAAUAUGAAAAAAUUGUGUUGAUGGAUACAAAGGACAAAAACUUUGUUACAAAAUACAGAGGAUAAUAAUGAUUAUGCUAUUUUUUCUUUCUUUUCAAAAAACGAUUAUGCUAUUUUUUUCUUACGUGUGAAUAUGCUUUAGUGUGGAACAGUAGUGGAUGAUUAAUGUAAUGUUUUGAGGUGGAAGACUUGGCAGGUUGGUUUGUAUGAUCCCUUUGGAAACAGCUUGUUCAAACAUCUUGUUUGGUGCUUCGUUUUUUUUUCUAAGCUUGUCUGGACGAAGAACCAGUCAUUUAAUCAUGUGUUCAGUGCAAACGGCUAGCUACAUAAACUAUUAUUCUAAUGCUACUUAUAAAAUAACUGAGAACAGAGUGUAGUAAACCUUAGCCCUUUGUUGACCAGGGAGACCUAGAAACAAUCCAAGGCCAAAAGUUAGGAACCAAAAACUCGAAUAAAUUUUUUUAUUACUCUCAAAGUUUUAAGGUAGAUUACCUGCAAAAAAGAACCAGGCCAUCUGAAGCAACUCUAGCAAGUUUGGCAUGAUACUGUUCAGUUACUUGGAACAGAUAA